UUCCACUAAUUUCAUCAUAGUCAUAUAAUGAAUGUACAAUUCCUACUAUCUCUAUUGGCAAGCUUUUCUCUGGUUUCAAGAAGCCUUUCUCUUUAAGAAUUCUUUUUAAUUGUCUGACCAUGUAAUUUGGUGCAUAUAUUAUCUUUCUAAUGCUCCAAUUUUCAGGUUUGUAUAGGUUGUAUGUGUAGCGGGUCACCACUAGCAUGGAAAAAAUGCCAACGAAGAAGAAGAGGAAACCAGUUCCAAUGGAGAGAGGGGGAAGAACAUGACCAUUGACCCUUCACUAUGGCUGAGGAAAGCGACUUCUUGCAUCCCGAUAUAUGAAAUGAGACUACUUUUAAAUCCAAUGUUAUUAUCUAGUAUUUAUUUAUUUUUAAAUAAAGUUACUUUGUAAAGUA
This is a long non-coding RNA of Argiope bruennichi, 398 nucleotides long. RefSeq lists it as uncharacterized. The transcript is spliced from 2 exons. The record is from RefSeq and is a predicted model, not a curated record. NCBI's taxonomy places the organism in Eukaryota, Metazoa, Arthropoda, Arachnida, Araneae, Araneidae.